Molecule: ribosomal RNA, 232 nt
Filed under: uncultured Actinomycetales bacterium
Lineage: Bacteria; Bacillati; Actinomycetota; Actinomycetes; Actinomycetales
Description: partial 16S ribosomal RNA
Rfam family: Bacterial small subunit ribosomal RNA
Source: RNAcentral
CGAACGGGUGAGUAACACAUGGGUAGAUCUGCCUUGCACUCUGGGAUAAGCUUGGGAAACUGGGUCUAAUACCGGAUAGGAACCGUCUUUAGUGUGGUGGUUGGAAAGUUUUUCGGUGCAAGAUGAGCUCGCGGCCUAUCAGCUUGUUGGUGGGGUAAUGGCCUACCAAGGCGUCGACGGGUAGCCGGCCUGAGAGGGUGUACGGCCACAUUGGGACUGAGAUACGGCCCAG